AACGAACGCUGGCGGCAGGCUUAACACAUGCAAGUCGAACGCACCUUCGGGUGAGUGGCAGACGGGUGAGUAACGCGUGGGAACCUUCCCUAUGGUACGGAAUAGCUCCGGGAAACUGGAAUUAAUACCGUAUAAGCCCUUCGGGGGAAAGAUUUAUCGCCAUAGGAUGGGCCCGCGUCGGAUUAGCUAGUUGGUAGGGUAAUGGCCUACCAAGGCAACGAUCCGUAGCUGGUCUUAGAGGAUGAUCAGCCACACUGGGACUGAGACACGGCCCAGACUCCUACGGGAGGCAGCAGUGGGGAAUAUUGGACAAUGGGCGAAAGCCUGAUCCAGCCAUGCCGCGUGAGUGACGAAGGCCUUAGGGUUGUAAAACUCUUUUGGCGGGGACGAUAAUGACGGUACCCGCAGAAUAAGCCCCGGCUAACUUCGUGCCAGCAGCCGCGGUAAUACGAAGGGGGCUAGCGUUGUUCGGAAUCACUGGGCGUAAAGCGCACGUAGGCGGACUGGUCAGUUGGGGGUGAAAUCCCAGGGCUCAACCCUGGAACUGCCUCCAAUACUGCCAGUCUUGAGUCCGAGAGAGGUGAGUGGAAUUCCUAGUGU
Molecule: ribosomal RNA, 600 nt
Filed under: uncultured bacterium
Lineage: Bacteria
Description: bacterial SSU rRNA
Rfam family: Bacterial small subunit ribosomal RNA
Source: RNAcentral